This 506-nucleotide ribosomal RNA is filed under the name uncultured bacterium. Its description in RNAcentral is "partial 16S ribosomal RNA". It matches the Rfam family "Bacterial small subunit ribosomal RNA", at positions 29 to 523 of the family's 1533-position model. The record is from RNAcentral.
AUUGAACGCUGGCGGCAGGCCUAACACAUGCAAGUCGAGCGGCAGCACAAGGGAGUUUACUCCUGAGGUGGCGAGCGGCGGACGGGUGAGUAAUGCCUAGGGAUCUGCCCAGUCGAGGGGGAUAACAGUCGGAAACGACUGCUAAUACCGCAUACGCCCUACGGGGGACAGAGGGGGACCUUCGGGCCUCUCGCGAUUGGAUGAACCUAGGUGGGAUUAGCUAGUUGGUGAGGUAAUGGCUCACCAAGGCGACGAUCCCUAGCUGUUCUGAGAGGAUGAUCAGCCACACUGGGACUGAGACACGGCCCAGACUCCUACGGGAGGCAGCAGUGGGGAAUAUUGCACAAUGGGGGAAACCCUGAUGCGGCCAUGCCGCGUGUGUGAAGAAGGCCUUCGGGUUGUAAAGCACUUUCAGUAGGGAGGAAAGGGUGAGUCUUAAUACGGCUCAUCUGUGACGUUACCUACAGAAGAAGGACCGGCUAACUCCGUGCCAGCCGCCGCGGUAA